GAUAUAUGGUGACUACUUUGAAAAAACGUCGUAUCUUGUUCUGUCAAUCAAAAGAAAAAUGUUGUAACUAUGUAUGGGAUGCAUACAGAGUUAUAGUUGAAUUAUCGAGAAGAUGGAAUUGCAUUUGUAGUGGUUGUAUGCUGAUAGUACAAGAAAAUAGAAAAUUCAAAUAUAGAAUGCCUGUAAACAAACAAUACUACUACAUAUGCAAUUCCACGCUCUCGAUGAUACGACUAUACUGCGUUUUAACUUUGAGUAGCAGUGCGAGAUACGAGAUUUUUUAAAGUAGUGACGAUGUAUGUGGAAUAUUAUGUGGGUUCAGUUCAGAUAUCGUAUCGGCUAUUGUGGAACCGCGCCUGCAUUAUCGUCGCUGGAUGUUAUAAUUGCUAUCAUUUUACGAUUGUUUUUCGUGGGAAAUCUGCUGUGCUAUUCUUGUUACUUAAAUGCCUGCCAAAUGUCUAGUGUAGGAGUGUUUGCACUCUCGAUUCAAUAUUCAUCAUUUAGAAAUAUUAUAAUAAGUUAUUAUAAAUUUAAUUAUGAAUCUAAACAAGGGAAAUAAUCAUUAUUAGACGUAAGUGCACUUCAAACUGCGUUAAAAGACCUUCACUUGUAUCGCCGGAAUCACUGUCAAAUAUUAUUCUUAAUAGAUAAUGAACUAUUUUCGAAAGUUGUAAUAAGAAUCAUAUAAUAACGCUAAUAAAACGGGGUCCCUUUGUUUGACAUAAAAUUUUAAGUCAUAAGGUAUUGUUUGUCAUAUUAUCAUUAGUCCUAAAACUGAAACCGUAAAAAACUUUUCAGGAUUUUCGUAAGGUUAUCCUAUAGAUGGGUUACAUUAGGUUUGUUUUAUGGCAAUCCUGAAAAGUUACGCGUUUCUGAACCAAACAAAUUAUAACUAACGAAAAUGCAGACAAACAAUACAUUAUGACUUAAAACUUUUUGGGAAACAAUAGAGGCCCUAAUAAACCAUCUGAGGGUAUCUCGUUUAAGGAAUAGUGUAAGAAUGUUUUAACUUAUCAAAUCAUUGUACCCGUCGUUUUGAGCUUCGAGUUAAUAUAAACAUUAGAUUAAGAUUAUUAAUUUUAAAAUGUCGGCCGAACUAAUUUUAAUUAUGACAAUGAUUGAAAUAUUAUUGCUUUAAGUUAACAUAUCCAGUUUUAUCAAACGAGCAUUGAUAGAAUCACUACUUAAAUCUGGCUCAAGAUGCCCUCUUUUUAUUUUACUAUUAGGAUUUAGCAAUAUUGUUAAUUAUUCUACGAAGUGUAGUUUAUAUACGCGAUGAAAGUUCUUUAACCAAAAACUUGACGCUGAAUUAGGUACUUACCUAAAUAUUUAACACAUUCAGUGCCGAAAACCCGACUAUCGGGUAUUUUAUGAUUUCGUUCCCAGGUCGGACGACCCGAUAGUCGGGAUCGUGGUACUACUGCUUUAUAUGACGAAAUUAUUGUGGCCUGGCGCGGAUGUCUUAUUUGGCUGGGUGGCAAUGAAUGUGUUAAAAGCAGACCGCGAGGAUCACCGAGUUUUAUUAUUUAAGUAUGUUGUUAGCUGUAGGCGCUCGAACAUCUAUAUUAAUAUUAUAUUAUACACGUAAAUGUUAAGAUAUAGCUCCCAACAAAAACCGCAAUCCCCCUCGAGGCCAAAAAAUAAGGUUGUUAUACCGCCUUUUUAGUUAUAAGCUUUUUUCUAUCUUAUUUUUAUUUUGCGGAUAUCUAAUAUCGAUCAUAGUAACUUAUGGCUCUUAAAUGUAUUAUGAACUCUUAAAAGGAUUCUAGGAAUCAAGUUAUCUUAUAGAUACCGAUUUUUUGCAUAUUUUCUGCUGAGAUCCUUUGGAAAAUUUCUUGCAAUUCUGUUGUUCAUACUGAAUCAAUAGGUAUCCAUUGCUCAUAUAACAGUUUAAUUUCAUGAAUCAUUUUUUUUCCAUUGCGUCUAAAUUAAUCGAUUUGAUUUAAGGUAUCCAGAUAGGAAUCCUGUAAACUUUUUAAGAGGCACGCGAGUAAGUUGCGGGCCUUCACAUUUUUAGGAUGUAUACUUUAAAUUUCUGGUUUAAAAGUCUCCGAUAAAUUACGACUUAGUAGUUACACUGAAGAGUAGGAGAGAUAACAUGGGAUGUAUUGUAUCUUAUCACUCUUACUCUUCCUGUAAAUAUCUUCCUAAAAGAUAAUUAGUAAACUUCCUAGUACUUACACAAAUGUUUAUACCUAUCGCGUCGAAUGAUGUCCAUAUGACUGUUCCUUCGAGUCUCUUUUGGGUGGACUAAAUUAAUACAAUAAUCGAUGAUAUAUCUUACCGUAUUUUUAUUAUUUAAAUGUUACAUUUGUAUUUGUUGAUUCUGAAUAAGGCCCCUGAGGGCUUACCGUAGACAUAGCAAAUCGAAAUUUUGUCAUCUGACUCUCUCUUUCUAUUGCUUUUGCACAUUUGAGUAACAGGGCGGCGAAUAACGUUAGUGGCAGGCCCUCUGAGCAACAAACGGGGCAACGGAACGUGACUUUCUGUUACUGUCAAAUGCUCCAAAAUAAAUGUGAAAUACAUUAAUGUGAUAAACUAAACUUAUGAAAAAAUGUCUACAAAUAUAUUACGUGUCAUUCGACGCGAACGGUAUAGAAAGAUUUUGUAAAAUACUCACAUUAAAUUUACUUUUUACGCCAAAAGAAACUAAAAAUAAUUUUACCAAGUACAACAAAUACAAAGUAAAAAUGUGACUUUCCAUCAGAGAAGUGUCCUUGUGCUGGAAGCAUAAGGACCCUUCUGGGAUGGAAAGCAGCAAAUACUUUUCCCGACCACUAGCAAAUAAAACUAAAUUAAAUUUGUGUCUACCUAUAAAAGAAACCUAGCAGUUUUGAGUACUUGGUAUUUGUCUUUUCGUGUAAAUUAAUAAUAUGAUUUCAUAAUUGCUGUGAAUGAAUUUGUAAGAUCUGUUAGGUAACAGCCUGAUAUAAUUAUUUACAAAAAAAUUGAGCGCUCGCAACUGUUUUCGCAUAUGUUGCUAUUUUUAUAUUAUAUGACUAAGAUUAUGUUAUAUGUAUUUGACACACCAUAUCUAAUACUGGACCCAAAUGUUUCUGACACGAAUGUUUUCCGUGUAUAGUCCACAUAGUACCUAAAGUGUUAUCUUAGAUUAGUCUUCAGAUUUCUUCGUGCAGGGUAAUUUCAUGGAGUUAUUGAGGUGGUUAGCUGUGGCGAGUAUUGUAAUAGUAGCGCUCAAUCCGCGUACAAAGAUCGUCCUUUAUAUUUAACAUGUUUAAGCCGGUAUCUUUGUCGAGUUUAGUCAAUUCAAGGUAAAAUCGUCGUAUUUCCAUUUUAUUAGGCUAAGUCUAGAUAUUAAUUGUCUACCUACAUUAAUCACGCACUGUAACUUGUUUCUAAUAAGUCGUAUUUUUUUUACAUAUAAAGUGGCAUCAAUGAUAUCUCCGCCUGAUUGUUAACUAAAUUUGGAACCUGAAUGUUAAUGCACACAAUUAAGUCCACUGUUUUGUAAUUAAAUGUUACUUAUUGAUUCAACAAUCAAUGUAUUAUAAAAUUGAUAAAACAUUUGCCCACUUGUUAGCAACAGAGUACCUAACUACUAGUAACGUUGAACAGCUAAAUUGCCUUAGUGAACUAUUUAAUAAAAACUUAGCAAUAGUAAAAUCCGAGCGUCUCAUUAAUUGCCUUAGAAUGAUUACCUAUAUACCUAUACAUAUAAUCCAUGGAAUAAUGUAAACUAAAGUGCUUAUACACAUGUUUAUUAGGCCUUUAAGAUACGGGAUUAAAACGAUGUAGAAUGGAACGAUAACUCCAAAAAUAAUGUAAAUGUGUGUGUAGUCGUAGUCUGCACUUUCUGCCUUUCUUUAUUGGUAAACCACUGAUUAAAUUAAAUCUUAUUUUCCAUUUGAAUAAUUUUGCCAUCAGAAAAUGUUAGCGGAUCUUUUUCCGCAUUUUUCGCACUUGGGCUUUGUUCUAGCAGGAUGUUCCAUAUUAUGACAAAAUGGUAUAGAAAAAUUUGCCCGUGUAGAAUUGUAUUAACUUCAAGUUCUUGAUUCUGUUUUUUUUUACAGAAAAUAUUUUUCAAACUUCUGUCCGUUCACUCUGAUUAUGAAUACCACUAAGUACUACCACUGUAAACAAUUAGCAUAGAGUCGCGUUUUAAAGUAGGUACGAUUCCCACCGAACCGGCGGAGUCGGCGCGCAUGUCACAUUUGUACGGCCGCGAGCCGGUCGGCUCCUCGCGGACGCGACCGGCUGCGGGACGGACUCCACCGCUUCUGCCAGGCAUAAUGUAUGGUUUAGGCACAUUGAAAAUGCGCUCCGGCGCGGCCCAACUCCAGCCGGUCGGUGGGAAUCCUACAUAAAAGGGUCAAUGUCGGAUGGCAGAUUUAUUCUUAUUUCUCAUUAUUUUGAAUGGAGGCAAUUUUCUUCUUACAUACAAAGAAGCUUACCAAGGACUAUUAUUUCUUUUAAUUAAUAUUAAAUGUGACAAAACUAAGAACCCUUUCACUGAAUCAAAGUAGUUAAUAUGAAUAUAUGUAGUAUUUAUAUUUUUACAGAUUCUGGUUUAUAUAGAUAAGGGGGUGGACAGAUACAGUAGUAUAAAACGUGUAAUGUAAACCUUGUAUUGUAUAAUGACAGUGCAAAACAAUCCCCUGUAAAAAUGCAAUAAAUAAGUGAAUCAAAAGUCUCUACUUUAUUAGUCAUAAUUAUGAAUGGCAUAUAUUGAUAAUAUUUCUGUGGAUGUAAUUAUAACAUUAACGUAGCCGUAAUAUUACAGUUAAUGAAUUGCGAGAUAUGUGUAUGGGUUGUAAUACAAUCUGUUUAUUAAA
Cydia splendana is the source of this 4793-nucleotide long non-coding RNA. RefSeq lists it as uncharacterized. Lineage: Eukaryota; Metazoa; Arthropoda; Insecta; Lepidoptera; Tortricidae. The record is from RefSeq and is a predicted model, not a curated record. The transcript is spliced from 2 exons.